GAUGAAGAACGUAGCGAAAUGCGAUACUUGGUGUGAAUUGCAGAAUCCCGUGAACCAUCGAGUCUUUGAACGCAAGUUGCGCCCGAAGCCACUAGGCCGAGGGCACGCCUGUCUGGGCGUCACACGCCGUUGCCCCCCCAUCUACUCCUUCGGGAUUGCGGGGGGGCGGAUGAUGGCCUCCCGUGCGCCUAGCCGCGCGGUUGGCAUAAAUACCAAGUCCUCGGCGACGCACGCCACGACAAUCGGUGGUUGCGAAACCUCGGUUGCCCGUCGUGUGCGUUCGUCGCGCAUCGAGGGCUCGAAAAAAUGCUCGGCUCCGGCUGGGCUUUCAAAGCGACCCCAGGUCAGGCGGGGUUACCCGCUGAAUUUAAGCAUAUCAAUAAGCGGAGGA
Molecule: unclassified non-coding RNA, 391 nt
Filed under: soil metagenome
Description: partial contains 5.8S ribosomal RNA, internal transcribed spacer 2, and large subunit ribosomal RNA
Rfam family: 5.8S ribosomal RNA (bases 1-122)
Source: RNAcentral